CUUUGGCAAGAAAUGGUCGCAGUUUCGAAAAAGUUUAAACAAUAUUCUGGAAAGAACUUAUUGAACAAUAAAAGAUGGUUAUAAAAUGACGGUGAAGUACAAACUGAACAUCAAUGUUUUGAGAUGGUGAUAAAAUGACUGAAGUACAAACUGAAAAUCAAUGUUUUGAGAUUCAAAUCGUAAAUGAUGGAAUAAACGGUUUAUUCCACUACAUUCAUUUUAAAGUUUAACUUAUGGUUUUACUAUGUAAUGGAGGAAAAAACGCAUCGUGUCCAUAUAAAUUUUAAAACAGUUUAAAUCCUAAGGACUGUUUUAAACCUCAUGGCGCAAAUUGUAUUGAUUGAAAUCAUUUUGGCUUUAUGAAAAAUGACAAUUUUGGGGAAAACCACAAAAACCAAAGAUCGUUUCUUAUAAUAGCCAACACAAUUUAAGAUUGCCGCCAGAAAAUCCAACAGAAGUGGAACAAAUUUGUAGGUCUCAAUUGAGCCUACUACAACUGUAGCUAUUUAAAUGGCUUUUAUUACAAAAAUUAAUAAAGUGGUUUAAAAUCUAAUAUAA
This is a long non-coding RNA of Calliphora vicina (urban bluebottle blowfly), 558 nucleotides long. RefSeq lists it as uncharacterized. Lineage: Eukaryota; Metazoa; Arthropoda; Insecta; Diptera; Calliphoridae. The record is from RefSeq and is a predicted model, not a curated record. The transcript has 8 exons.